GAGAAGUGACCAGGCUCAUUGUCUUGGAGGUAGCAAUAGCCAUAAUUCAGAAGGGCUUGGGAAAAAAACCUACUCAUUUCUAAUGAUGAAAUGGCAUUCACUGGAUAUUUUGGUUUUGCAGUAGCAAUGAUGGAAUUGGUGCGGAGAGAGUGGCCAAAGUUGACCCAAAUUUCCCAAAUUGGUGGAGCCCUGGUAUUCCUUGAACAUGCAUACCUUUCCCAGCGUGAGGGACAUGGACCGUGCCGUGCGAGGGACCCCAUCUUCUGCAGCAGGAGGGAGCAGAGAAGAGAACACAAGGAUUCCUGUUGCUAAAAGGUCUGUUUUCUCCUGCUGGCCACCCUCAUCAGCCAGAGUCCAAACCCUGACAGUGCCCACAGAGAGAUCUGGUCCAAGGCACCAACCUCUUCCUGCUGGACUGAGAAAGAGUCUCCGACUGUGUCUCUCUUUACCUCAGCUUUUGCACACCUCCAAUAUAUUGUCCACUGAAGUCAGGAUAAUCUAAAAAUAAAGCCUGAUUACAUCAUGAGGUCUAAACUUA
Long non-coding RNA from Cercocebus atys (sooty mangabey), 538 nucleotides. RefSeq lists it as uncharacterized. NCBI's taxonomy places the organism in Eukaryota, Metazoa, Chordata, Mammalia, Primates, Cercopithecidae. The record is from RefSeq and is a predicted model, not a curated record. The transcript has 3 exons.